RNAcentral lists this ribosomal RNA (368 nucleotides) under uncultured organism. RNAcentral describes it as "bacterial SSU rRNA". It matches the Rfam family "Bacterial small subunit ribosomal RNA", at positions 526 to 896 of the family's 1533-position model. The record is from RNAcentral.
CGGAGGGUGCAAGCGUUGUCCGGAUUUAUUGGGUUUAAAGGGUGCGUAGGCGGUCCUAUAAGUCAGUGGUGAAAUACGGCAGCUCAACUGUCGAGGUGCCAUUGAUACUGCAGGACUAGAGUACUGAUGAGGUAGGCGGAAUGGACGGUGUAGCGGUGAAAUGCUUAGAUAUCGUCCAGAACACCGAUAGCGAAGGCAGCUUACUAAAGAGUAACUGACGCUGAGGCACGAAAGUGUGGGGAUCAAACAGGAUUAGAUACCCUGGUAGUCCACACUGUAAACGUUGAUCACUAGAUGUUGGCGAUACACUGCCAGCGUUCCAGCAAAAGCGAUAAGUGAUCCACCUGGGGAGUACGCCCGCAAGGGUG